GCCUUUGUAGCUCAGCGGUAGAGCGGGGAUCUCUAAAAUCCUUUGUCGUGGGUUCGAAUCCCUCCAUCGGCAC
This 73-nucleotide transfer RNA is filed under the name Pectobacterium phage vB_PcaM_CBB. RNAcentral describes it as "Pectinobacterium phage vB_PcaM_CBB tRNA-Pyl". It matches the Rfam family "tRNA". From Rfam's summary of the family: Transfer RNA (tRNA) molecules are approximately 80 nucleotides in length. Their secondary structure includes four short double-helical elements and three loops (D, anti-codon, and T loops). Further hydrogen bonds mediate the characteristic L-shaped molecular structure. tRNAs have two regions of fundamental functional importance: the anti-codon, which is responsible for specific mRNA codon recognition, and the 3' end, to which the tRNAs corresponding amino acid is attached (by aminoacyl-tRNA synthetases). tRNAs cope with the degeneracy of the genetic code in two manners: having more than one tRNA (with a specific anti-codon) for a particular amino acid; and 'wobble' base-pairing, i.e. permitting non-standard base-pairing at the 3rd anti-codon position. The record is from RNAcentral. Lineage: Duplodnaviria; Heunggongvirae; Uroviricota; Caudoviricetes.